Cyprinus carpio (common carp) is the source of this 785-nucleotide long non-coding RNA. The record is from Ensembl. Lineage: Eukaryota; Metazoa; Chordata; Actinopteri; Cypriniformes; Cyprinidae.
AUAAGACAGAUGGGCUGUGUGCCGUGUUUGUGUUUUAUUGUUUUGAGUUCAGUAAAUGAGACUCACAUGGGCUGAUAAAGGGACAGGAAAAGAUAAAUGAUCAAUUAGAGGCUUCACCACAAUUGCCUGCAAGUCUCUCUGGUGUCUGUGAAACCAAAGUAGGGAAAUGAGACUGACAGAGAGAAGAAGAGUAAGGGAAAAUGAAAAAUAGAAAGACAAAGAGAUCCAGGGUGUAUUAGGAAAUUCACAUUCAUUCUGUGUGUGGGUGUGUGUGUGAAGCGCUAACACUUCCUCUCUGUGUGGCCGAGCUCAGAUGAGAAGCCUGAUGAGAAGUGGAUUGUGUUUGAUGGGCCAGUGGACACACUGUGGAUCGAGAGCAUGAACUCUGUAAUGGAUGACAACAAAGUCCUCACACUCAUCAACGGAGAGAGAAUCUCCAUGCCCGAACUGGUACCGGUGCCAGACUAAACUCGGCACACACUGAAACCUCUAAUGGCGUCCACCCAGGGUUAUUUCACUUCUGAUUCCAGACCUGAUACUGUGCACUUCACCUCACUAACCCAUCAGGGUCUCAUUAUUGUUUGAAGUGAAGGAUCUAGCUGUGGUGUCUCCUGCGACUGUGUCUUGCUGUGGUAUGGUUUACUACUCUGACUUGACCUGGAAGCCUUAAGUUCAGUCCUGGAUGGAAAAACGACCGAAGGUUGAAAUGGAUCAUCUCAGGCAGCUGUUUGACCACUACAUAGACAAGACCCUCACUUUUAAGAAUACUCACUGUAAGGAGCUGU